Molecule: long non-coding RNA, 412 nt
Filed under: Lathyrus oleraceus (garden pea)
Lineage: Eukaryota; Viridiplantae; Streptophyta; Magnoliopsida; Fabales; Fabaceae
Description: Pisum sativum (pea) long non-coding RNA (PSAT_LNC001802)
Source: RNAcentral
UUUGACCCGCGUGUAUGGUGAACACGCGCUUCCUAGCCGUGUGAUGAUCCACGUCAAUUAAUGAAUCACCAUCAGACGGCUCACGCUUUUCCUAUUUUCCAUUUUCCUGAUUUUUAUUUCUUUUAUUUUCUUUAAUUCCAAUUAUUUUCAAAAAUUAAUAUUUCUUUCAUUUUUUAUCCAAAAAAUAUGGAACCAAUUGCAUUAUUUCCCAAAUAAUUUCUAAUUUCUAUUUCUAAUUUUUAAUAUAUUUUAUUUCAUCAUUUGGUAUUUUUUGUGAAUUUUCUCUUUUCUGGUUAUUUUUAAUUCAUUUUAAAUAGUUUUUGAUAUUCAAAAAAUACAAUAAUAUUUUUCUAACCUCUUUGAAUGAUGAUGGAUCUAUGAAAAAUAUUCUCAUCAAUUUUUGAAUUGAUUU